AGCCAACACUGAGAAAAAUUAUAACAGAUUAUUUUCUGCAUCUCUCCCAUCCAUGUAAGCAUUAGUGGGUGGUAAUCAACAAUCUCAUUACUCACCAUCUCUUCCAUCCGCCAUUGCUCAUCACCACCUCCAUCACCAUCCCUUUUCAGAUCCGUCUUCACCGGAGUCCCCACCACUACUGUCAAGUUUGUCCUCUCUCGAUCUCUCUUUCACCUUCCUCUCAACUUCAAAUCGCUUUUUGUGUAUUGUAUAAGCUCCAUGAUUAUCGAGACUCAUGAGAUUGCUCAGUUCGUCGCGAACCUUGCCAGUAGUUAACCGAUGAAGAUGCUGAGAUCAAGCCUCAGGGUUUUAUUCCCGGGUCGAAUCCUGGACAGCACAAUGAACAUAUGAACCGUAGAGCAGGCAUUUAUGCAGUUCAUGUUCUUCAGUUUGGAGGACAUGUGGCUGAUCUUCCCUCAAACUAUCUCAUCCCUCUCACUAACAGUGUUCCCACGUAAGUACUUGUGUAGUGUAAUACCUUAUUGAUCGAGAAUAAUCAUAUUCAUUUGUGAAUUGGUCUAGCUAGAAGAAUUGUGCAAUAAUUUGAUCCCUUUAGUUUCAAGUCACUGGUGGUGUUGCUUUUCAGAUGACUUGGUGUUAGAGAAGUAUAGGUUUGGUAUUGAAUCAUAUUCGUUGGUGCCACAAGUUGAUCCCUUUUCUCAUUGGCUUGCAAGCAGUAUCCAAACCAUUGUUUAGGGUCUAAUCACUGGUGGCUGUUGUUUAAACUUAUGAUUAGAGCUGAUCAAUAAGGCAAGCUUUUGCGACUCAGUGCUGUACCACAGGACGUGCUCGUGGCUUGUGUUUCGUCGUCUUUGCUGAUCUUGUGUUGCAGAAAGAGUCACUGUGGAGAAACACACCAUCGAUGGCCGCACGGUUGAGGCAAAGAAGGCUGUGCCUAGAGAUGAUCAGAGGUGCUGAAACGACACACCAUUCCUAUACACCUUAUGUUACCUCUCCAUGGUGGUGGUGGCAACAUGACAAAGGAUCUGUGUAGGUGGUUUACCGUCUAACAGUACAGAGGAGGUGUUAUCCAGCUCCUUCUAUCUCUAGCAGGUUCGGUUUUGGCGCUACAAACUACUUGUCUCAUGGUUCUCGGAUGUGUGGUAAUUUGUAAGUUGUGCUUGGUAUUAGAAGUGAGAUGUUCUUUGGUUGGUUUGUGAAGCUUUGCUCCCUGCUUUUGAUUUUAUCACUGGGUUUGACGAUUAGUCAAAGUCACAAUGAGAAUGAGGUUUUAGUCUUGCUCGAUGGUGUUUAAGUUUUUGUACACUCAGUUGUGUAUGUGGAUGCUCCCAAGAAUGUGGAAUAGAUUCUUAGCUUUCUUUUGGUGUUGUUUGGUUUUGCAAAUCAAGAGGAGCAAAGCAGUUUGGGGAUGACGAUUACUGGUUUUGCAGAACAACUAUACACCGAUCUGAGAAGUAUUAUUUUUUCAA
This is an RNA transcript of Brassica oleracea var. oleracea, 1469 nucleotides long. RefSeq lists it as uncharacterized. The transcript is spliced from 4 exons. The record is from RefSeq and is a predicted model, not a curated record. NCBI's taxonomy places the organism in Eukaryota, Viridiplantae, Streptophyta, Magnoliopsida, Brassicales, Brassicaceae.